UCGCGACCCCAGGUCAGGCGGGACUACCCGCUGAGUU
Molecule: ribosomal RNA, 37 nt
Filed under: Melampodium microcephalum
Lineage: Eukaryota; Viridiplantae; Streptophyta; Magnoliopsida; Asterales; Asteraceae
Description: partial 26S ribosomal RNA
Source: RNAcentral